CCAUUUCUAAGUAGCAACAUUCCAGCAUCACUUGCAUACGGGGUAUAUAUCUCCCAAUUGAUACGAUAUUCCCGUGCUUGCAUUUCCUAUCAUGAUUUUCUUGAUAGAGGGUUGCUGCUCACAAGGAAGCUAUUAAACCAAGAGUUCCAAAUGGUGAAGUUGAAAUCAUCCCUUCGUAAAUUUUACGGACGCCAUCACGAGUUGGUUGACCGUUAUGGAAUAACUGUUUCACAAAUGAUAUCGGAUAUGUUCCUUACGUCGUAACUACAAUCCCCUUCCCGUUCAUGAAUGUGACCUACCGAAUUAGACUAUUUACCGGAUUUGUUAUCACAUAAGCAGCACGACGGGUGCCGCAUGUGGAGCAGGAUCUGCUUACCCUUCCGGAGCACCUGAGAUCACCCCUAGUUUUUUGGUGGGGUUCGUGUUGUUUAUUCUUUAGUUUUCUAUGUUGUGUCGUGUGUGCUGUUGUUAGUUUGUCUUUUUCAUUUUUAGCCAUGGCGUUGUCAGUUUGUUUUAGAUUUAUGAGUUUGACUGUCCCUUUGGUAUCUUUCGUCCCUCUUUUAUGUC
RNAcentral lists this long non-coding RNA (567 nucleotides) under Mytilus galloprovincialis (Mediterranean mussel). Lineage: Eukaryota; Metazoa; Mollusca; Bivalvia; Mytilida; Mytilidae. The record is from RNAcentral.